This 21-nucleotide microRNA is filed under the name Brugia malayi. RNAcentral describes it as "bma-lin-4". Its record names the gene bma-lin-4. RNAcentral also lists the same sequence under 1 other name. Lineage: Eukaryota; Metazoa; Nematoda; Chromadorea; Rhabditida; Onchocercidae. The record is from miRBase by way of RNAcentral.
UCCCUGAGACCUCUGCUGCGA